AGGCUGAUGACAUAUCUCACAAGUGAUAUCUCCUUUCUCAUUACACCAGUGCUGAACACACUUCCUAUGAGCAUACUUGAGGCUCCCGCUGCAGGCACAGGGAGUCUCCAAGUUGUUAACGGAAUCCUCUUCCUGGCAAAUGCGGCACUCGGAGACCUGAAUCAACGGCUCCUCUUCCUCCCCCCUUUCCUGGUAUUGGUUCCUCUGGUGGCCGGGACCAACAGCGUCGCUUCCCUCAUUGGGCGUGGAAGAAGAGGCCUCCGGAGCCAUCUGAGCAGCCGGGGGCCUCAUAAGGUGGUCGACGUACAACACGACGUGAUCACUCAUCAUGAAAAAUGAAAUCCUCCCCUAGGAAUUCUCCUCCAAAUAAAAUGAAAUGAAAGAAAAAAAAGAUAUUGAAUAAGGGACGGGAGAAAUAGGCUUAACAUUCAAGAGAAAAAGGAGUGAUAGAAACCUUAGAUCACGCUAUUGCAAACAGCGGAUCUCAGGUUUCCCAGAAAUUUCAAAGAGAGAGGAAAGAACAGAAAAAUAAGAGAGAGAAAGUAGAAUAAAGAAUUCUCCUGGGCAAGAAAAUUCUGUAUUUAU
This 585-nucleotide unclassified non-coding RNA is filed under the name Hevea brasiliensis (rubber tree). The record is from RNAcentral. Lineage: Eukaryota; Viridiplantae; Streptophyta; Magnoliopsida; Malpighiales; Euphorbiaceae.